RNAcentral lists this ribosomal RNA (242 nucleotides) under uncultured bacterium. RNAcentral describes it as "partial 16S ribosomal RNA". It matches the Rfam family "Bacterial small subunit ribosomal RNA", at positions 524 to 765 of the family's 1533-position model. The record is from RNAcentral.
UACAGAGGGUGCGAGCGUUAAUCGGAAUUACUGGGCGUAAAGCGUGCGUAGACGGUUAUGUAAGUCGGGUGUGAAAGCCCCGGGCUCAACCUGGGAAUUGCAUUCGAGACUGUGUAGCUAGGGUGCGGAAGAGGGAAGCGGAAUUUCCGGUGUAGCGGUGAAAUGCGUAGAUAUCGGAAGGAACACCAGUGGCGAAAGCGGCUUCCUGGUCCAGCACCGACGUUCAGGCACGAAAGCGUGGG